Molecule: ribosomal RNA, 301 nt
Filed under: uncultured bacterium
Lineage: Bacteria
Description: partial 16S ribosomal RNA
Rfam family: Bacterial small subunit ribosomal RNA
Source: RNAcentral
CAGUCGCCGCGGGAAUACGUAGGGUCCGAGCGUUGUCCGGAAUUAUUGGGCGUAAAGGGCUCGUAGGCGGUUUGUCGCGUCGGGAGUGAAAACCAGGUGCUUAACACCUGGCCUGCUUUCGAUACGGGCAGACUAGAGGCAUUCAGGGGAGAACGGAAUUCCUGGUGUAGCGGUGAAAUGCGCAGAUAUCAGGAGGAACACCGGUGGCGAAGGCGGUUCUCUGGGAAUGUCCUGACGCUGAGGAGCGAAAGUGUGGGGAGCGAACAGGAUUAGAUACCCCUGUAGUCCCUGUCUCUUAUAC